This 332-nucleotide ribosomal RNA is filed under the name uncultured bacterium. RNAcentral describes it as "bacterial SSU rRNA". It matches the Rfam family "Bacterial small subunit ribosomal RNA", at positions 568 to 898 of the family's 1533-position model. The record is from RNAcentral.
CAAGUAGGUGGUCUCAUUUGUCUAGGGUGAAAUCCUUGAGCUUAACUCAAGAAGUGCCCUAGAAACGGUGGGACUAGAGUUCUGGAGAGGGUCGUGGAAUUCCCGGUGUAGCGGUGAAAUGCGUAGAGAUCGGGAGGAACACCAGAGGCGAAGGCGGCGACCUGGACAGAUACUGACACUCAACUGCGAAAGCGUGGGGAGCAAACAGGAUUAGAUACCCUGGUAGUCCACGCUGUAAACGAUGGGAACUAGGUUUGAUGGGUCUUGACCCCCGUCGAACCGGCGCUAACGCACUAAGUUCCCCGCCUGGGAAGUACGGUCGCAAGACUAAA